AUGAACGCUGGCGGCGUGUUUUAGGCAUGCAAGUCGAACGAUUUUCGCGUAGCAAUACGUGUUGAGAGUGGCAAACGGGUGCGUAACACCCUGGUAACCUGCCCCGAAGUUCAGGACAACCCACCGAAAGGCGGGCUAAUACUGGAUGUGAUCUACGGACGAAAGUCCGUGGCGGAAAGCCCGCAAGGGCGCUUCGGGAGGGGCCUAGGUUCCAUCAGCUUGUUGGUAGGGUAACGGCCUACCAAGGCUUCGACGGAUAGGGGGCGUGAGGGCGCGACCCCCCUCACUGGGAAUGAGACACUGCCCAGACUCCUACGGGAGGCUGCAGUCGAGAAUCUUCCCCAAUGGACGAAAGUCUGAGGGAGCGACGCCGCGUGCAGGAUGAAGCCCUUCGGGGUGUAAAGCUCUUUAGCCGAUGAUUAUAAUGACUGUAGUCGGAAAAUAAGCCCCGGCUAACUUCGU
This 462-nucleotide ribosomal RNA is filed under the name uncultured bacterium. RNAcentral's name for it is "bacterial SSU rRNA". It matches the Rfam family "Bacterial small subunit ribosomal RNA", at positions 29 to 506 of the family's 1533-position model. The record is from RNAcentral.